CAAAUAUCAUCUGGCCUCAAGUCAGCACGCGCAGAAUGGCACAGUCUCCCUUACGGCGACCUGGUAAAGGUAGCAAAAGGAGCAGAAGCAUAUAGAGGCCCUGAAGAUAAAACCUUCCACAUUAUAUCAGUUCAGGGCUACCAAAGAAGAGGUGCCUUUAGAGGCGCCCCGCGAGGCAGGGGUAGAGAAGGGUUUAACCAAGGCGGCAGGGGUAGAUUCCAAGUGAGGUGUG
Molecule: non-coding RNA, 232 nt
Organism: Pelobates cultripes (western spadefoot toad)
Lineage: Eukaryota; Metazoa; Chordata; Amphibia; Anura; Pelobatidae
Source: the annotation of a GenBank genome assembly